Long non-coding RNA from Lacerta agilis (Sand lizard), 340 nucleotides. RefSeq lists it as uncharacterized. The transcript is spliced from 2 exons. NCBI's taxonomy places the organism in Eukaryota, Metazoa, Chordata, Lepidosauria, Squamata, Lacertidae. The record is from RefSeq and is a predicted model, not a curated record.
UUCCACCACCAACAGCAACACAGACAAACUGAAAUAAAAAGAUAUAAAAAAAGAACUGGAUUUCCAUUUUGGAAUUUGGAGCAGGCCCACACAAAACCAGUCAAAUGGUGCUAUGUGGUAGAAGGUUGAACCUCAGCAAUAACCUCAUCUAUAUGAAGGCCCUUUGGAAGGGUAACUCAUACCUUGAUAGUCCUCUUGUUCCUGUCGUUCAUUGAUAUCCAAUGUCAAUUUUUUCAUUCUCAUCCUCUCCUCUUGCUCAGCUUGUUGUUGAUUCCAGUGAUUUGCAGCCAAUUGAGACGACAUUGGCACAUUUAGGAUCUUAAACUGAAGACAGACAAGA